UAGGGAAUAUUAGAAAUGGACGAAAGUCUGAUCUAGCAACACCGCGUGUGCGAAGAAGGCCUUCGGGUCGUAAAGCACUUUUUGGAAGGAAUAGGAAGGAAUGUACUUCCAGAAUAAGUCUCGGCUAACUACGUGCCAGCAGCCGCGGUAACACGUAGGAGGCGAACGUUAUCCGGAUUUACUGGGCGUAUAGCGCGUGUAGGUGGUUCUGUAAGUAGGGCGUGAAAGCUCCUGGCUCAACUGGGAGAGGCCGUUCUAAACUACAGAACUAGAGGAUGGUAGAGGGAGGUGGAAUUCCAGGUGUAGCGGUGGAAUGCGCAGAUAUCUGGAGGAACACCAGUGGCGAAGGCGGCCUCCUGGACCAUUCCUGACACUCAGACGCGAAAGCUAGGGUAACAAACG
RNAcentral lists this ribosomal RNA (402 nucleotides) under uncultured prokaryote. Its description in RNAcentral is "bacterial SSU rRNA". It matches the Rfam family "Bacterial small subunit ribosomal RNA", at positions 355 to 774 of the family's 1533-position model. The record is from RNAcentral.